CUAGCGGCAGGCUAACACAUGCAAGGUCGAGGGGCAACGCGAGUAGCAAUACUUGGCGGCGACCGGCGCAAGGGUGCGUAACGCGUGAGCAACAUGCCCGUAUCAGGGGGAUAAUCCAGGGAAACUUGGUCUAAUACCCCAUAGUAAUUUUGUAAGGCAUCUUAUAAGAUUUAAAGCUUUGGUGGAUACGGAUUGGCUCGCGUGACAUUAGCUGGAUGGUAAGGUAACGGCUUACCAUGGCUAUGAUGUCUAGGGGUUCUGAGAGGAAGGUCCCCCACACUGGAACUGAGACACGGUCCAGACUCCUACGGGAGGCAGCAGUGAGGAAUAUUGGACAAUGGAUGGAAAUCUGAUCCAGCCAUGCCGCGUGAAAAGGAAGAAGGUCCUAUGGAUUGUAAACUUCUUUUGUAUGGGAGCAAUAAGGCCUACGUGUAGGUUGAUGAGAGUACCAUACGAAUAAGCACCGGCUAACUCCGUGCCAGCCGCGGC
Molecule: ribosomal RNA, 489 nt
Filed under: uncultured bacterium
Lineage: Bacteria
Description: bacterial SSU rRNA
Rfam family: Bacterial small subunit ribosomal RNA
Source: RNAcentral